GACGAACGCUGGCGGCGUGCUUAACACAUGCAAGUCGAACGGAAAGGCCCUGCUUUUGUGGGGUGCUCGAGUGGCGAACGGGUGAGUAACACGUGAGUAACCUGCCCUUGACUUUGGGAUAACUUCAGGAAACUGGGGCUAAUACCGGAUAGGAGCUCCUGCUGCAUGGUGGGGGUUGGAAAGUUUCGGCGGUUGGGGAUGGACUCGCGGCUUAUCAGCUUGUUGGUGGGGUAGUGGCUUACCAAGGCUUUGACGGGUAGCCGGCCUGAGAGGGUGACCGGCCACAUUGGGACUGAGAGACGGCCCAGACUCCUACGGGAGGCAGCAGUGGGGAGUAUUGCACAAUGGGCGGAAGCCUGAUGCAGCAACGCCGCGUGCGGGAUGACGGCCUUCGGGUUGUAAACCGCUUUCGCCUGUGACGAAGCGUGAGUGACGGUAAUGAGUAAAGAAGCACCGGCUAACUACGUG
This 468-nucleotide ribosomal RNA is filed under the name uncultured bacterium. RNAcentral describes it as "partial 16S ribosomal RNA". It matches the Rfam family "Bacterial small subunit ribosomal RNA", at positions 28 to 507 of the family's 1533-position model. The record is from RNAcentral.